AUUGAACGCUGGCGGCAUGCCUUACACAUGCAAGUCGAACGGCAGCACGGGUGCUUGCACCUGGUGGCGAGUGGCGAACGGGUGAGUAAUGCAUCGGAACGUACCCGGAAGUGGGGGAUAACGUAGCGAAAGUUACGCUAAUACCGCAUAUUCUGUGAGCAGGAAAGGGGGGGAUCGCAAGACCUCUCGCUUUCGGAGCGGCCGAUGUCGGAUUAGCUAGUUGGUAGGGUAAAAGCCUACCAAGGCGACGAUCCGUAGCUGGUCUGAGAGGACGACCAGCCACACUGGGACUGAGACACGGCCCAGACUCCUACGGGAGGCAGCAGUGGGGAAUUUUGGACAAUGGGGGAAACCCUGAUCCAGCCAUGCCGCGUGAGUGAAGAAGGCCUUCGGGUUGUAAAGCUCUUUCAGACGGAAAGAAAUCUUCCGGGCUAAUACCUCGGGAGGAUGACGGUACCGUAAGAAGAAGCACCGGCUAACUACGUGCCAGCCGCCGCCGUAA
RNAcentral lists this ribosomal RNA (502 nucleotides) under uncultured bacterium. RNAcentral describes it as "partial 16S ribosomal RNA". It matches the Rfam family "Bacterial small subunit ribosomal RNA", at positions 30 to 523 of the family's 1533-position model. The record is from RNAcentral.